UCGAAUAUUUAACUGUAUAAAUUAUUUACGACCAUUCUUUGACACGGAUUGCAGUGUUUUCACAUCUCGUAUCCAAUUGAAUAAGCCUUUACAGCAAGCAUGCGAUCUGUAAUGAUUUUUGCUUUAUUAUUCUUACUGGUCAUCAAUAUUAGUGGUGAAGAACAGCAAUUGUCAGAUUUAGAAGGUGAAGCUGUCGGACAAGACGUAAAUGAUGUUCGAGCAGCAAAUUUGCCGGGACGACAAUUUGUAGAUAGGAUGGGCCAUCUCUUUGGCAGGUGAACAUAAACUAAACAACGAAUGGAUCAGUCUAUCUCCUGUUGGAAGACAUCAUCAGUGAAAUAGUCAAAGAUAAUAUAAUAGUGUGUUAUGUGCUUCUAUUUAGUUAUAAUUUAAUUAUGAGAUCAAUAGAAUAAAUCCUAUGAACAUUGACAAACACA
Molecule: long non-coding RNA, 437 nt
Organism: Saccoglossus kowalevskii
Lineage: Eukaryota; Metazoa; Hemichordata; Enteropneusta; Harrimaniidae
Source: RefSeq, a predicted model, not a curated record